This 119-nucleotide ribosomal RNA is filed under the name Helianthus annuus (common sunflower). The record is from RNAcentral. Lineage: Eukaryota; Viridiplantae; Streptophyta; Magnoliopsida; Asterales; Asteraceae.
GGUUGCGAUCAUACCAGCACUAAUGCACCGGAUCCCAUCAGAACUCCGCAGUUAAGCGUGCUUGGGCGAGAGUAGUACUAGGGUGGGUGACCCCUUGGGGAGUCCUCGUGUUGCAACCC